GUCACACCCUCCAUGGAACUGGAACAGUCAAGACAAAUAAUCACUUCGUUCUUUCCACGGAGGUCAGGGAGGACGUCCGCAAGCUCCGGUUGAAAGACAAGCAUGCAGGCCUAAAGGGAGAAGGAGGCAGUGGAUCAGAGGUUCUCGCAGCUUACAUGGGAAAAUACUCUCAAUGCCAAAAGCUUCUAGGACCCGUGAGAGGCUCAGCAGGGUGCUACAGUGCCAGGGAUGAAGAAGAUGGCCACAGGACUCUGGAUGCUGAGUUCCGUGAUGUAGGUGAUUUUGAUGAGGACUUUAGCCCGAGGGGGUUUCUGAAAGACCUUACAGGGAUGCCUUCUGUGUUACGGCUUGGUGAAAGGUGGACAUACUGAUAGACCCUGUUGACUGACCUGAGGACCGGGCCAUGACUGGAGCAUGGGAAAAAGACAUUUUACAGAGGGAUACUGUCUACUCCCAAUGUGUGUGUUCUCUUAUCAGUCUGGCAGUCGAGUGCCUGGUGGCAGUACCAGUUCUUCUGCUUCACACAACAGCGACUUCAUUUCCUCCUUUAGACAACGCACGUGGGUAUGACUGGCUUGACCUCCUGUACUCCUAAGGGGUUUUCAUUUGUGUGUUUGAGACAAAGUCUUGCUAGGAAGCUCUGACAGGCUAGAGCUCACAGUGUAGAACAACAGGUGAGCCUUGAACUUGCAGCAAUUCUCCUGCCUCUACCUCUCAAGGGCUGAGAUUAUGGUAUAUGCCACCACGUGUGACAUUUAAGAGAAAUCUCAUAAGCUCAGAGUACUGUAAAUAAUCUUGGCUUCUAUUAUGGAUUCAUAUUGCAAAUCAUUUCCCAUAAUGCAUGGGCUACAGAAUGAGUGACAAGCUGUACCGGAGUGUCCUGGUCCAUCAAGUAAGCACCAUGGCCUUGGCUGACAGCCUCUCGGUACUCCUGCCGGGCCUCUUCCUUUUCCUUUAUCUGAAAAAGACAAUUAUCAUGAUGAUUAUGUUGGUUUUGAUUUUUUUGAGGCCACGUCUCACUCUGUCCUAGACUGGCCUGGAACUCAUCAUGUACCCCAGGCUGGCCUUGAGCUUGCAACAAUCCUCUUGCUGAGAUGGCAGGUGAGGUGCCAUGCUCAACUUUGGGAAAGAUUUUUAAACUGCUCGUUAUAGGAAGAGCGACUUCGGACUUUGAUUAGGGAAAUGACACCAGGAUUUAUUAAGGUCCAGAAAAAGCCAGGAAACUAAGUUUAGAUGAGCAAAAAUUUUCAUAAGAGGAACACCAAAGUGUCCUGCCAAGAAAAAAUCCGAACUGAAAAGGCUGACUAGAGAGGCUCCUCCUCAUGCUAGGACCAGACUCAAGUCAGCAGUUGAAAAUGAAAAGUUGGGGACUUAAUGUUAGACGCAACAAAAAUGUUUAUUUCAUUUAUUAUUUUUAAAGUAGUGAUUACUCCUCUCAUUGUUGUUGUUGUUGAGACAGGGUCUUACUAUGUAGCCUUGGUAGACCUGGAGCUCACUGUGUACAACAGGCUGGCCUUGAACUCACAGAGACCUGCCUGCUUCUGCCUCCUGAAUGCUAGGAUUAAAGUUGUGUACUAUUACAUCAGCUCCUUGUUAUUCUUUACCAAUCCAAUUUAUUAAACUGUAAUUUCUUUUAAAA
Molecule: long non-coding RNA, 1639 nt
Filed under: Mus musculus (house mouse)
Lineage: Eukaryota; Metazoa; Chordata; Mammalia; Rodentia; Muridae
Description: predicted gene 16573
Source: RNAcentral